RNAcentral lists this ribosomal RNA (253 nucleotides) under uncultured bacterium. Its description in RNAcentral is "partial 16S ribosomal RNA". It matches the Rfam family "Bacterial small subunit ribosomal RNA", at positions 524 to 776 of the family's 1533-position model. The record is from RNAcentral.
UACAGAGGUCUCGAGCGUUGUUCGGAUUCAUUGGGCGUAAAGGGUGCGUAGGUGGCGUGGUAAGUCUGGUGUGAAAUCCCGGGGCUCAACCCCGGAACUGCACUGGAUACUGCCAUGCUUGAGUACUGGAGAGGAGAUUGGAAUUUACGGUGUAGCAGUGAAAUGCGUAGAUAUCGUAAGGAGGACCAGUGGCGAAGGCGAAUCUCUGGACAGUUACUGACACUGAUGCACGAAAGCUAGGGGAGCAAACAGG